Molecule: long non-coding RNA, 1304 nt
Filed under: Homo sapiens (human)
Lineage: Eukaryota; Metazoa; Chordata; Mammalia; Primates; Hominidae
Description: HSALNT0082547
Source: RNAcentral
AAUUGUACAUGGCGAUCAUCAGCAGUAUGAAGAGGAGCUGUGGGGCCAGUGAGAGAAGCUGCAGCCUGUUGAGACUCCACAAGACUGAAGAUAUGAAAAGAGGAAAUAUGCAUGAAUGCCCGCACGGAGAACCACCCCCACCUGCUGCUCCCGCUCUAAUGAUCACGCCCAUUAUCAACUGGGGGAUGGCUCUGUGCCUUGUCCUUGCAUUACAUGGACCAAGAACACUUCACAGGACUCAGAGAGGCAAAAAUAGAUACAAAAGAAGAAGGAAUUACAGAAGAAGUCACAUAACAUUAUUGCCUACAACUGACUGUUUACCUUGAAUACUUGAAGACCAGAAUGAAGAUUCUUGGGGUGAAGAAUUACAGCCUUAGCAUGGAGCAGGCCUCGGUGCAUCGGCUUUCAGCUAGGCAUGCCUGCCAAUGUUCAACGUCCUCCUGGGAUACGGAAGGCACCGUGAUAGACAUCUGGGCAAGUCAACAGGAAGGUGGAUAUCCAAAUCUCUCUCUUCGCAAUGAGUUUCCAGUUAGAUGGAGGAGAGAGUAAUAAAACACAGAGCUGAGAUUCCUGACUUCACAGAUCCCUGAGGAGAUGUUUACUAAAGGGAAUCUUCUGGUCACUGUUACCUUCCUCCGUACUUACCUGCCUCAUGGAUAACACUGAAGAAUGCAGUUUACUUACAUCUUUUUCUGUUUGACAGAAGACAGUUAUUAGUUACCCUUGGGACAUCAAAAUGACCAAGGCAGUGUCUGCUAAGUAUUUGCUGAGACUCUGCUAUGAUUCUUUCAAGUCUAAAGACAGUUAUCUGAAUGAUAUCCCCGUGACAGUGGACUCCUGCACAUUCACAGUCCUGGAAGGAGCCUGUCCACAUUGGCAUUCUGGAAGUCCAUAAAAGACAAACGCAUAUGCAGUCCCCGAGAAAGCAUUGUUGUAAACAAAUCUGCACUAGAUGGAAACUCUGUUAUGUGGUGCCGGCAUGCAUGGAAGAGAACCCGAAAGGAAGAAGCUAUACGACUGGGGACACAUGUCUUAGAAGCACACUCAUUAGAUAAAGUGUCGCAUACUCUUUGAUAAGUGACUCAGAACACCCGUGUCCUUCCCAACAUUGGAUGCAAUGCUAAAGACAUGAUGUUGCUCCUGCUGGACCACACCUUGAAGGAAUUGCCUACCCCACCUCACCUCCAAAAUUAAAGUCUUUCGUUUUGACAAAAGUUAAUGAUAAGGUUUGAUGUGCUAAUUUCAGCACCUCCACUUCAUGUCUACACUGUGGACAUAUACUUUUUUGUUGUUUUGGGGUUUUU